Long non-coding RNA from Portunus trituberculatus (swimming crab), 262 nucleotides. RefSeq lists it as uncharacterized. The record is from RefSeq and is a predicted model, not a curated record. The transcript is spliced from 2 exons. Lineage: Eukaryota; Metazoa; Arthropoda; Malacostraca; Decapoda; Portunidae.
UUUCUAGAGAGAGAGAGAGAGAGAGAGAGAGAGAGAGAGAGAGAGAGAGAGAGAGAGAGAGAGAGAGAGAGAGAGAGAGAGAGAGAGCAGCCGUAGUGAGUGUUAAUAGCCAAAAGUCUCGUUUUAGAGGCUUGAAUUAAAAAAAAAAACAUAUAUUUUUGUUCUCUUUAAAAGACUAUCAUUAAUAAUAUUUGUGUUCCCCCGAGCGUCUGUCACCGUUUGUAUAAUAAAAUGUUAAAAUAUACUGUAAGGUCACUAUAAA